This 253-nucleotide ribosomal RNA is filed under the name uncultured bacterium. RNAcentral's name for it is "partial 16S ribosomal RNA". It matches the Rfam family "Bacterial small subunit ribosomal RNA", at positions 524 to 776 of the family's 1533-position model. The record is from RNAcentral.
CACGUAGGGAGCAAGCGUUGUCCGGAUUUAUUGGGCGUAAAGAGCUCGUAGGCGGUUUGUCGCGUCGUCCGUGAAAACUUGGGGCUCAACCCCAAGCUUGCGGGCGAUACGGGCAGACUUGAGUACUGCAGGGGAGACUGGAAUUCCUGGUGUAGCGGUGAAAUGCGCAGAUAUCAGGAGGAACACCGGUGGCGAAGGCGGGUCUCUGGGCAGUAACUGACGCUGAGGAGCGAAAGCGUGGGGAGCGAACAGG